RNAcentral lists this transfer RNA (75 nucleotides) under Ophiarachnella gorgonia. Its description in RNAcentral is "tRNA-Ile". The record is from RNAcentral. Lineage: Eukaryota; Metazoa; Echinodermata; Ophiuroidea; Amphilepidida; Ophiodermatidae.
AAGUGCAUUGUCUCGGUGAAGGGGAACUUUCUUGAUAAGUAAGUUUAAAUUGGUUGAAGCCCAAUCGUGUGCUUU